This 139-nucleotide microRNA precursor is filed under the name Oryza meridionalis. Its description in RNAcentral is "pre miRNA mir-166". It matches the Rfam family "mir-166 microRNA precursor family". Rfam says of the family: This family represents the plant microRNA (miRNA) precursor mir-166. Animal miRNAs are transcribed as ~70nt precursors and subsequently processed by the Dicer enzyme to give a ~22nt product. Lineage: Eukaryota; Viridiplantae; Streptophyta; Magnoliopsida; Poales; Poaceae. The record is from Rfam by way of RNAcentral.
GUUAAGGGGUUUGUUGUCUGGUUCAAGGCCUCCUGUCCUACAUCACAUUUUUUUUCCUUUGUUCUGAAUUUCUGAUGGAUGUGUGUGCGCAUGAUGCAUGGCUGGUGGUGACCUCGGACCAGGCUUCAUUCCCUUUAAC